GAUACAUAGGAACCUCCUCACAAAGGAUUCUAUGGACAGUCGAUGCGGGGAGGAGAGAACUCCCUGCAUCGGCGAUUUU
Molecule: non-coding RNA, 79 nt
Filed under: Escherichia coli
Lineage: Bacteria; Pseudomonadati; Pseudomonadota; Gammaproteobacteria; Enterobacterales; Enterobacteriaceae
Also listed under: 2 other names
Source: RNAcentral